This 393-nucleotide ribosomal RNA is filed under the name uncultured bacterium. RNAcentral's name for it is "bacterial SSU rRNA". It matches the Rfam family "Bacterial small subunit ribosomal RNA", at positions 30 to 424 of the family's 1533-position model. The record is from RNAcentral.
AUUGAACGCUGGCGGCAUGCCUUACACAUGCAAGUCGAACGGCAGCACGGGAGCAAUCCUGGUGGCGAGUGGCGAACGGGUGAGUAAUAUAUCGGAACGUGCCCAGUCGUGGGGAUAACGUAGCGAAAGCUACGCUAAUACCGCAUACGAUCUAUGGAUGAAAGCGGGGGAUCGCAAGACCUCGCGCGAUUGGAGCGGCCGAUAUCAGAUUAGGUAGUUGGUGAGGUAAAGGCUCGCCAAGCCGACGAUCUGUAGCUGGUCUGAGAGGACGACCAGCCACACUGGGACUGAGACACGGCCCAGACUCCUACGGAGGCAGCAGUGGGGAAUUUUGGACAAUGGGCGCAAGCCUGAUCCAGCAAUGCCGCGUGCAGGAUGAAGGGCCUUCGGGUU